Molecule: long non-coding RNA, 5349 nt
Filed under: Mus musculus (house mouse)
Lineage: Eukaryota; Metazoa; Chordata; Mammalia; Rodentia; Muridae
Description: predicted gene 44812
Source: RNAcentral
CAUAGAUUUGGCCUGAUUCACCUGGGGUUAUUCUAAUUUCUGUGUUCAGAACAGAGGUGGCCCCAUAAAGACCCACAUAUUCAGUAUGUGCUUACACAGUACUUAAUGGUUCACAGGCCCAGGUCACUGUUGAAAUGCAAUGGAAAGCAAGACUUCACAAGUAAAAUGAAUCCCUGAGAGGAAAAGAGGCUUGAUCUAAAAUGAAAGAGGCACAUAUUUAACUACUUAACAAGGCACAUAUUUGCCAACUUAAUGUGUACUGGAUCUGGUAGGUGAUCCAGCUAGCAAUGGCUUUAGAAGCUUUGGUCUGGGGCUACAAGGAGAACCUCUUUGGAAGUACUUUACUAACAAGCCUGUGAAUCUGAGGUCAAUGCCAGCACCCAGGAAAAAUAGUGAGGCCUCGUGGUACACUUGUAAUCUCGGGGGAAGCAGCAACAAGAUGGUCCCUGGGGCUUGUUGCCUGGCCAGCCAGCCCUACUUGGCAAGUUUCAGGUCAUCAAGAGACCCUGUGUCAACAAAUGAAGUGGUCAGAACUUCGGGGACAACACCUAAGGUUUUCUUAUGUACAGAUGUACAAACACACACACACAUAUACAAUCACACACACACACACAUACAUAUACAAUCAUACACACAUACACAAUCACACACACUCACACACACUUAGUCUGUACUCAUACUUGAGGAGUAAGUGUGCCUUCCCUUUUCUCAGAGGGUCAAGAACCCCAAUCUCUGCUGGAAACCACAGUGUGGAGGCCCAACCUUUCAAACAGUUUUAAAGUAGACUUGUAAUUCUUCCUUUACAGGCCUCAGGAGGAGGCUUAGUGGACUCUGGGAACUUUUCUAGAGCUGCAGAACAAAAGGUGGCAGGUGUUAGGGUCAACUGUCACAUAGGUUUGGUGUGAAAUCACACUCUUCCCCCUAAUUCCAGGUGGCUUCUGUGGUAUGAGGAAGUUAGACAGCCGUUGAGAGGACUGUGGUCUGGAAGAGGUGGCCAGGUGCUGAAGAGCUUUACCUGAGUGACUAACUUCGGAGCAAAGGGCUCAUGAGUGACAAAGUGGACAAAAGGUCACAGAUGCAGGAAGUUGUGGGCCAGACCACUUAAGGCCAGAGGUUUUAGCAUCAAGACACUGAUCUCAGUGAACACACACUACUGUACUAGGCUUAAAACCAAGAUGGACUGGAACGUUUGUUCUGACGUGGCCCUUGGGGAAGGAAGGAACUGGAGCGACUCUGGCUGCUUCCUUGUGGGAUCUUGACAGAACUUUGUUAUUUCUAUACAUGUUGUAUAUGUUUAUAGCAAAUAAUUUCCAGCAUUAGGGCUACAACUGAUAGGAAUCAUAACCUUAACACUUGUGAAAAAUGCACAAAUGUCGCCUUUCUGGUUAGGUAUAAAUAGAAACUGCUCUCUUUUACUAGUUUCCCUGGCUUGAUCUAAACACUGCCCCGCCCCCGCCCCCUCAAGUCUAUGCAGAAUAGCUGACAUUCUUCCUUCCCUCUUAGAGGGCAGAUUAGCACCACCUGUCUUGGCUAACAUUCACGGGAUUCAGCAGGAAAACUAGUAUUAGGGAGGGAAAACUCCCUGAAUGUGGUAUUUUGGGAUUACUUCUUUGGUUGCGAAACCGCUACCUUUGUAUUCAAAGGUGAUGAGACAUUUUUCUGGCUAGAAACAGAGUUGGCGCAGUGAGGUGUCAAGUUCAAAGGAGACCCUGAAAAGAUCUAAGCCCGAUUUGAGCCAAAGCCUUGGGAGGAAGGUGAGUGAUGGGUGGCAAGGCUUGCUUACAUUGUCGACUUACUGUUACAGUGGGGGGGAGGAUUGUGGUCAUCCCCUCGCUGAGCCAUCCCACCCCUCCUUCUGUGGAAGGUAUUAAUGUAGGCCCUCCUUCCAACUGGCUCUUUGCCAGCUAGCUGGCACGGUUCAAUGGCUUCCUCUGUGAGGCAGUGUCAGGGAAGUUGCAAGUGUCUCCAGGUUCAAAGGGCUUCGAGGUGGGUGUGCUGGAUUUGGCGUUCAGAACGGAGCGCAUCAUGGGCUUCUUGUUUAACCUUUUGCUGUCUGUGGUUUUCCUUUUUCUGAAACGGUGAUAGUGGAGUGCUGCUGCAGGCGUGUUGAGAAGAUUACGGAGUUCAUGUUUGGUGAAGGGCUUUGAGAGUCUCAGAUGAAAGGUGUUCCACAAAAAAAUCACACUCACACAUUGUUUCUUCCCUGGUGCCUUUCUUCCAGGGAGCUCAGACUGCUUGAAAAAAAAAAAAAACUAUUUCAUUAAUCCUCACAGCCUCCCUUUAGCGAUUAGUAUCCCCUGUUCUCAUAUCAGAAAUUUGGAACAUAGGAAGCCAGUGUCAUGGCUAAAGUGACCUAGCAGGUCACUGGUAAAAUCAACAGUGGGAUUCAGGCCCCAUCUAUGUCUCCAUUGACUCAUUCAUUGGUCAAAUAUUUGUCCACGGUUAUAAGCCAGACACUGGACCUAUUGAGCAGGAAGAAUAUUUUGGGAAACUAAAGUGCAUUCUCAGUUACUAAAGGGGUGGAGUCUGCGUACUUGAGUUAGUAGAUAAACAACAAUAUAACAUAGACACUCUUUCACAAAGGACAGUGAUAAGAGCCGGUAUGAGUCCAAUCUAGUAAAAAAAGAAAAAAAGAAACACAAACAAACAAACAAAACACCAAAUAAGUAACUCAGCUUGACAAAGGAUGUCAUAUGAAUGAGCAUCUUUUUGAAGGAUGAGUUUACCAGCUCACCAGUAGAAAAAUACAUGCUGAAGAAACGCAUCUCAAACAGGAGCAUGAAGGAUCAGGAGAAAUCUGUGGGAAGAGAUGGCCCUGGCCUGGUGAGAGCAAAGCAAGCUUGAGUAGAGAAGCGACCUAAGCCGUAUGAACUUUAUGAGGUAACUGAGCAGCCUCAGAGGUUGCUCCAGGAGAAGGAAUGCAGUCACCUUUACAAGGAGGAGUGUUCUCUUAUCGGAAGUUGGACUCUUUUACAGUUGCAACUGCCCUGGAGCCAAAUGCAUCCUGCAAACAGCCAAGUGGAAGAUCUCACACAGAAGCCGUUUGUAAAUGGUUCCCAGGUGGCUACAACACAGCAAACUUUGAGACUUCAGACUCCCAGCGCUCAUCUUCCCAAUGAUCCAUCCCAGAAAGGUGAACAUAUGACAAUGUUUCUAGAAGAAAAGGAGUUAUUGGAGACUCAACAAAACCAGGAUUUGGAAGAGGACAGGCAAAUAUUAUUUGACAGAGCUAGAAGCUCAGCUGCGAGCUCCUUUCCAUCCAUUGGAGAAGGGUAUCCUGCUCGGUGGGGAUUUUUUUUUUCAGACACGUGGUGACUGAUGCUUGUGUCUAGGGAAGAAAUUUUGACCCCACUGUUGAACUGUGUUGGGAGAUCUGGAUUCCAGAACGUUCACAUGGAUCUCUCAGUGAUCCUGAUUUGUCCCUGUGAGCCUUGCUUUCACCCCACCACAAGGAGGAAUGGUGAACUUCGUCUUCACUGUGAAAUGUGCUCUUCAUGCAGGCAACCAAACCAAAGAAAGAGAUGAUCAGAUCUGUGUAAUGGAACACUCCAGUGCUGAUUGGUUGGGGGGAAAAGACUCCCCCAUGCUUGUCUUUUUAUUUUGAAACGAUCAAUGGCCACAAGCGCAUUAAGUUAUACUCUUGAUGUAUCUAGUUGCAAGGUAAGAAGCCUGUGUAAAGAGUUGACUUAAUAUCUGCAUAGGUGAAGUGGAGAGAUACUGGAUGGGCACGCAUGCGCAUGCCUGCUUCCCAGGGACUUGGCUUUGAUCUGGAGUGAUCUCCCCCUUGGUGACCCCUUGGCUGGCUACUAAGUCUAAAUAGUUGUCUGGCAUCCUUUCUCUUGGUCUCUUUGUUCUUUUAUUCAACAAUUGCGUCUUAAAACCCAAGAAGCCACCAGGGACUCCCACACAGGUGGUGGAUCUUUUAUCUGUUCCUCUGUGUUGUGAGAUACACUGGGCCUAACACACUUCCGGGGUAAUCCAGCUUUUGUAUACUCAGGGCAGCUAGUUUAAAAAUGUGACUGGAGGUAUCUUGGCUUCUGCAGCUGGUAUCUCUGGAUAGUUGAUUUAGCUACAGCAUUGUUGACUACGCCUGUAUGCCUGUAUUCAAGAUCGAAAACGCCAGCUGUGCUGCAAUCCACACACAGGUCAAUAUACAGUCCUUCGUUUCAGUAAUCCCGACUAGCAAGGAGAGGUGUCCCUGCUGUGUCGUCCUCACCCUUUCUGUUUUAGGAAGGUCAAAGGUGAGGUUCAAUGUUGCCCUUAGUACCCGGAAGUGGAGCCAAGACCGGAGGAAAGAACACCCCGUGGCGAUCUCAUACCUAUGAUGUGGGCGAACAGUGGCCAGAAGCCAAGAAAAGCUGCAGAACCUCUGGUCUGCUCUAGGGUGAAGCGUGGUAGGUUUCCUUGUGGAGCAGGGAUUGUUUGCUUCUCAAAACUGAACAGAGUGUUGUAAGCCACAUUCCUCUUCAAUCUUUCGCUUGUUUAUAUGUCUUCAACUUUAGACAACCUUCCUGGAAUUAUCUUCUAGCGAGAAGUAAAAAGUUAUUUUAUAUGAGCAAUAGGAUGUGUUUGUAAUAGAUGUUGAAAUAUGUUUCAGAAUGGGUAACAUUGCUGCUAUUUUAUGCCAUUCUGGUCUUUGAGUAAAACGCCUACAAAGUUUUGCAAAAACAAAAACAAAACAAAACAAACAACAACAACAACAACAACAAAACCCCAAACAAACAAAAAACCAGUAACAAAAAUCCAAAUGAUGGUGAUGAUGAUGGUGGUGGUGUUAGUGGUGGUGGUGGUAAUGAUGAUGAUGAUACUGAUCAAUGAAGUCCUUAAGUAGCCAAGAGGCAGACGUGGAAGCAUCUGAAAAGUGCUUGCUUUCUCAUGCACUCUAGAUUACAACCUCUUAAGCUCACAUCUUUACCUUGGAUUUAACUAAAGCUAAAGAAAAAGGAUUGCAAUGGAAUUGGACUCUGUAUGGCAGGAAUGGAAGUCAGGGAUCUGUGAUGGAAAUACAGAAAACAUCACCGUACACAUACAUGGAUGUGUGUUUGACCAUGCACGUGCACACACACACACACACACACACACACACACACACACACACACACAGAGAGAGAGACACACACACUAUUCUCUUGCACAGUAUUUUCCUGAGUGUGAAUGGAUCUCAGGAGUAAGAGUGCAGACACCACUUAAGGUAGCAUCAAGACGAGUGUAGAUUCACUUGAUGGUCACCUAGAAAAUGCUUUUAGGAAUCGUGUUAAUGUGGUAUUUUCCCUAAUUUGGAAUUUUGGUUGUCUUUUUAAUGUGAGUGUUUUCCAGUUCUAUUACCAUGAAUCCUAAUCAGUCACAAGU